This 588-nucleotide ribosomal RNA is filed under the name uncultured bacterium. RNAcentral's name for it is "partial 16S ribosomal RNA". It matches the Rfam family "Bacterial small subunit ribosomal RNA", at positions 355 to 1375 of the family's 1533-position model. The record is from RNAcentral.
UGGGGAAUUUUGGACAAUGGGCGAAAGCCUGAUCCAGCAAUGCCGCGUGUGUGAAGAAGGCCUUCGGGUUGUAAAGCACUUUUGUCCGGAAAGAAAUCCUUGGCUCUAAUACAGUCGGGGGAUGACGGUACCGGAAGAAUAAGCACCGGCUAACUACGUGCCAGCAGCCGCGGUAAUACGUAGGGUGCAAGCGUUAAUCGGAAUUACUGGGCGUAAAGCGUGCGCAGGCGGUUUGCUAAGACCGAUGUGAAAUCCCCGGGCUCAACCUGGGAACUGCAUUGGUGACUGGCAGGCUAGAGUAUGGCAGAGGGGGGUAGAAUUCCACGUGUAGCAGUGAAAUGCGUAGAGAUGUGGAGGAAUACCGAUGGCGAAGGCAGCCCCCCUGGGCCAAUACUGACGCUCAUGCACGAAAGCGUGGGGGAGCAAACAGGAUUAGAUACCCUGGUAGUCCACGCCCUAAACGAUGUCAACUAGUUGUUGGGGAUUCAUUUCCUUAGUAACGUAGCUAACGCGUGAAGUUGACCGCCUGGGGGAGUACGGUCGCAAGAUUAAAACUCAAAGGAAUUGACGGGGUCAUAGCUGUUUCCU